This 73-nucleotide transfer RNA is filed under the name Bos taurus (domestic cattle). It matches the Rfam family "tRNA". Rfam says of the family: Transfer RNA (tRNA) molecules are approximately 80 nucleotides in length. The record is from Rfam by way of RNAcentral. RNAcentral also lists the same sequence under 5 other names. Lineage: Eukaryota; Metazoa; Chordata; Mammalia; Artiodactyla; Bovidae.
UCCCUGGCAGUCCAGUUGUUAAAACUCUGCACUGUCACUGCUGAAGGCCCAGGUUCAAUUCCUGGUCAGGGAA